RNAcentral lists this ribosomal RNA (253 nucleotides) under uncultured bacterium. RNAcentral's name for it is "partial 16S ribosomal RNA". It matches the Rfam family "Bacterial small subunit ribosomal RNA", at positions 524 to 776 of the family's 1533-position model. The record is from RNAcentral.
GACAGAGGGGGCAAGCGUUGCUCGGAAUCACUGGGCGUAAAGGGCGCGUAGGCGGGAUGGCAAGUCAGUCGUGAAAUCUCUCGGCUCAACCGAGAAACGUCGGCUGAUACUGCCGUUCUUGAGGGAUGCAGAGGAGACUGGAAUUCCCGGUGUAGCGGUGAAAUGUGUAGAGAUCGGGAGGAACACCGGUGGCGAAGGCGGGUCUCUGGGCGUCUCCUGACGCUGAGGCGCGAAAGCGUGGGGAGCAAACGGG